This 253-nucleotide ribosomal RNA is filed under the name uncultured bacterium. Its description in RNAcentral is "partial 16S ribosomal RNA". It matches the Rfam family "Bacterial small subunit ribosomal RNA", at positions 524 to 776 of the family's 1533-position model. The record is from RNAcentral.
UACGUAGGGGGCUAGCGUUGUCCGGAAUCAUUGGGCGUAAAGCGCGUGUAGGCGGCCAGGUAAGUCCGUUCUGAAAGCCCGGGGCUCAACCCCGGGAGGCGGAUGGAUACUGCUUGGCUCGAGUCCGGAAGAGGCGAGUGGAAUUCCCGGUGUAGCGGUGAAAUGCGCAGAUAUCGGGAGGAACACCAAUGGCGAAGGCAGCUCGCUGGGACGGUACUGACGCUGAGACGCGAAAGCGUGGGGAGCAAACAGG